Molecule: ribosomal RNA, 254 nt
Filed under: uncultured bacterium
Lineage: Bacteria
Description: partial 16S ribosomal RNA
Rfam family: Bacterial small subunit ribosomal RNA
Source: RNAcentral
UACGUAGGGUGCGAGCGUUGUCCGGAAUUAUUGGGCGUAAAGAGCUCGUAGGCGGUCUGUCGCGUCGGCUGUGAAAUCCCGAGGCUCAACCUCGGGUCUGCAGUCGAUACGGGCAAACUAGAGUAUUGCAGGGGAGACUGGAAUUCCUGGUGUAGCGGUGAAAUGCGCAGAUAUCAGGAGGAACACCGGUGGCGAAGGCGGGUCUCUGGGCAAUAACUGACGCUGAGGAGCGAAAGCGUGGGGGAGCGAACAGG